Molecule: ribosomal RNA, 999 nt
Filed under: uncultured bacterium
Lineage: Bacteria
Description: bacterial SSU rRNA
Rfam family: Bacterial small subunit ribosomal RNA
Source: RNAcentral
AUGCAGUCAAGGAGAACGUUUCCUUCGGGAAAUUAUUAAACUGGCGAACGGGUGAGUAAUGCGUAGGCAACCUGCCUUGGAGAUUGGGAUAACCCCGGGAAACCGGGACUAAUACCGGAUAAUGCAGCGACUUCUUAGGAAGAUGCUGUUAAAGCGGGCUUCGGCUCGCACUUCAAGAUGGGCCUGCGUCCGAUUAGCUUGUUGGUAAGGUAACGGCUUACCAAGGCGAUGAUCGGUAGCUGGUCUGAGAGGAUGAUCAGCCACACUGGGAUUGAGAUACGGCCCAGACUCCUACGGGAGGCAGCAGUAGGGAAUUUUGCGCAAUGGACGAAAGUCUGACGCAGCAACGCCGCGUGAUCGAUGAAGCUUUUAGGAGUGUAAAGAUCUGUCGUGAGGGAAGAAAAAUCUGGAUGUAAAUAAUGUUCAGACUUGACGGUACCUUACAAGAAAGCACCGGCUAACUUCGUGCCAGCAGCCGCGGUAAUACGAGGGGUGCUAGCGUUGUCCGGAAUAACUGGGCGUAAAGGGUCCGUAGGCGUUUUGCCAAGUUGAUCGUUAAAGCCACCGGCUUAACCGGUGAUCUGCGAUCAAAACUGGUAGAAUAGAAUAUGUGAGGGGAAUGUGGAAUUCCUGGUGUAGCGGUGACAUGCGUAGAUAUCAGGAGGAACACCAAUGGCGAAGGCAGCAUUCUGGCACAAUAUUGACGCUGAGGGACGAAAGCGUGGGGAGCAAACAGGAUUAGAUACCCUGGUAGUCCACGCCGUAAACGAUGAGUACUUGGUGGUGGGGGAUUCGACCCCUUCACUAUCGGAGCUAACGCGUUAAGUACUCCGCCUGGGGACUACGACCGCAAGGUUGAAACUCAAAGUAAUUGACGGGGACCCGCACAAGCGGUGGAACAUGUGGUUUAAUUCGAUGCAACGCGAAGAACCUUACCUGGACUUGACAUGUUAGUGAAAGUUUUGUGAAAGCAAAACCCUCUACGAACUUGUUCAAGGA